UCAAGCUACAAAGAGCACAAGGGGAAUGCCUUGGCACCAAGAGCCGAAGAAGGACGUGACAAACUGCGAUAAGCCACGGGGAGCCGUAAGUAGGCGCAAUAACCGUGGAUUUCCGAAUGGAGCAAUCCGGCUGGGGUAAUGCCCAGUCAUCAUAUACUGAAUACAUAGGUAUAUGAGGGGAACCGCCUGAACUGAAACAUCUAAGUAGGGCGAGGAAGAGAAAUCAACAGAGAUUCCGUAAGUAGUGGCGAGCGAACGCGGAAGAGGCCAAACCUAGGUUAGUAAUAACCUAGGGGUUAGGACAGCAAUAUGUAACAAUCUAUCUAGCAGAAUAACAUGGGAAGGUUAACCAAAGAAGGUGAGAGUCCUGUAAGCGAAAGAAAUGAUUGAGCUAGCUGUAUCCAGAGUACCGCCGGACACGUGAAACCCGGUGGGAACAAGGGGGGACCAUCCUCCAAGCCUAAAUACUACUUGGUGACCGAUAGCGAAUAGUACUGUGAAGGAAAGGUGAAAAGAACCCCGGGAGGGGAGUGAAAAAGAACCUGAAACCUUGUGUUUACAAGCACCGAAAGCCCGUCAAAGGGCGAUCGGGUACCUUUUGUAGAAUGGUCCGGCGAGUGAGUGUAUCUGGCAAGGUUAAGCACUUAAGGUGUGGAGCCGAAGCGAAAGCGAGUCUGAAUAGGGCGACUAAGUCAGAUGUACUCGACCCGAAACCGGGUGACCUACCCAUGUCCAGGUUGAAGUGGAGGUAAAACUCCAUGGAGGACCGAACCGACUCCCGUUGAAAUGGUAGCGGAUGAGGUGUGGGUAGCGGAGAAAUUCCAAUCGAACCCGGAGAUAGCUGGUUCUCUCCGAAAUAGCUUUAGGGCUAGCCUCGGAAUAGAUUACUGGAGGUAAAGCACUGUAUUGGCUAGGGGCCGAGAGGUUACUGAACCAUAACAAACUAAGAAUGCCAGAUAAUCGUUUUCCGGGAGUCAGACGGUGGGAGAUAAGUUUCAUCGUCGAAAGGGAAACAGCCCAGACCCACAGCUAAGGUCCCAAAGAAUAGUUAAGUGGAAAAGGAUGUGGGGUUGCACAGACAACCAGGAUGUUGGCUUAGAAGCAGCCACUCAUUAAAAGAGUGCGUAAUAGCUCACUGGUCGAGUGACCCUGCGCCGAAGAUUUAACGGGGCUAAACUAUACACCGAAGCUUGGGAUGACGUAAGUCAUGGUAGGAGAGCGUUCUGUAAGGGGAGAAGUCACAACGAAAGUGGUGGUGGACUUUACAGAAGAGAGAAUGCCGGAAUGAGUAGCGAGAAAUAUGUGAGAAUCAUAUUGGCCGAAAGUCUAAGGAUUUUGGAGGAAGGUUCGUCCGCUCCAAGUUAGUCGGGAGCUAAGGCGAGGCCGAAAGGCGUAGUCGAUGCACAUACGGUAGAUAUUCCGUAACCACUUGUAAUUUAAGCAAAGGGACACCUGAGAAGGGCAUAACCCCGGUGUUGGUAUACCGGGGCGUAAGGGACCGAAAUUUAAGUAGGGAAGUAUGCUUGGAACAGGGCGAGAAAAGCUUUGUGAAUAGAUCAAGUGCCCGUACCGCAAACCGACACAGGUAGAUAGGAAGAGGAUUCUAAGGCCAACGGGAGAAGGGUAGUUAAGGAACUCGGCAAAUUGACUCCGUAACUUAGGGAAAAGGAGUGCUCAUCGAAAGGUGAGCCGCAGUGAAUAGGCCCAGGCGACUGUUUAGCAAAAACACAGGUCUCUGCCAAAUCGAAAGAUGAAGUAUAGGGGCUGACACCUGCCCGGUGCCGGAAGGUUAAGAGGAGGAGUGAGAGCUCUGAAUUGAAGCCCCGGUAAACGGCGGCCGUAACUAUAACGGUCCUAAGGUAGCGAAAUUCCUUGUCGGGUAAGUUCCGACCCGCACGAAUGGUGUAACGAUCUGGGCACUGUCUCAACUACCCGCCCGGCGAAAUUGUAGUACCGGUGAAGAUGCCGGUUACCUGCGACAAGACGGAAAGACCCCAUGGAGCUUUACUGUAGCUUGAUAUUGGGUUUCGAUAAUUUAUGUACAGGAUAGGCGGGAGACUAGGAAACCAGGGCGCCAGCCUUGGAGGAGUCACCCUUGGGAUACCGCUCUUAAAUUAUUGGAAUUCUAACCUGCGGCCAUGAAACUGGUCGGGGGACAUUGUCAGGUGGGCAGUUUGACUGGGGCGGUCGCCUCCGAAAGAGUAACGGAGGCGCUCAAAGGUUAGCUCAGCACGGAUGGAAACCGUGCAUUUGAGUGUAAACGCAUAAGCUAGCCUAACUGCGAGGAUGACGGUCCGAGCAGUAACGAAAGUUGGAGUUAGUGAUCCGGCGGUAUGUGAAUGGAAAUGCCGUCGCUCAACGGAUAAAAGCUACCCUGGGGAUAACAGGCUGAUCUCCCCCAAGAGUCCACAUCGACGGGGAGGUUUGGCACCUCGAUGUCGGCUCAUCACAUCCUGGGGCUGUAUUCGGUCCCAAGGGUUCGGCUGUUCGCCGAUUAAAGUGGUACGCGAGCUGGGUUCAGAACGUCGUGAGACAGUUCGGUCCCUAUCUGCCGUGGGCGCAGGAUAUUUGAGGAGCUCUGUCCUUAGUACGAGAGGACCGGGAUGGACGCACCUCUGGUGCACCAGUUGUCACGCCAGUGGCACAGCUGGGCAGCUAUGUGCGGAACGGAUAAACGCUGAAAGCAUCUAAGCGUGAAGCCGGCUCCAAGAUUAGAUAUCCCAUCGAUUAAUUCGAGUAAGACCCCUUGUAGACUACAAGGUUGAUAGGCUGCGUGUGUAAGUGUCGCGAGGCAUUAAGCUUGGCAGUACUAAUAGGUCGAGGGCUUGACCAC
This 2833-nucleotide ribosomal RNA is filed under the name Periplaneta americana (American cockroach). RNAcentral describes it as "bacterial LSU rRNA". It matches the Rfam family "Bacterial large subunit ribosomal RNA". The record is from RNAcentral. Lineage: Eukaryota; Metazoa; Arthropoda; Insecta; Blattodea; Blattidae.